GUCACGCCCGAAGUCAUUACCCCAACCGAAAGGAGGGGGAUGCCUAAGGUAGGACUGGUGACUGGGGUGAAGUCGUAACAAGGUAGCCGUACCGGAAGGUGUGGCUGGAUCACCUCCUUUUUAGGGAGACCUAAUCCAUUGAGAAAUCGAAAACAAUCAGUAAUUAGAUUCUUAAUUGGUCUAUCCUAGGUCGGUCACAAUCAUUGAAGUAUGGCUUUCAAACUAUGAUUUGGUUCAUUAAGGGCUAUUAGCUCAGGUGGUUAGAGCGCACCCCUGAUAAGGGUGAGGUCCCUGGUUCGAGUCCAGGAUGGCCCACCUGAAGAUAAUUAGUAAUUACUAAUUUUUAAUUUGUAAUCAAAAAAUUAUGAAUUAGGAAAUAAAGGAUUACAAAUUAUUGGAUGGGGGUUUAGCUCAGUUGGUAGAGCGCCCGCUUUGCAAGCAGGAUGUCAGCGGUUCGAGUCCGCUAACCUCCACAUUGGAAAAGAGACAGCAACUGACUAUUUGUCAGACUGCUGGAUUAAAACCAGCCAGAACCUUGAAAACUGCAUAGUAACGCGAAUUAGCAGGCAGACGAAACUGAGUACUGAGGAAAGAGUACCGAGCAAAGAGUUUUUCACUCAUUGUAGAGUAGGAAAGAAACAGGAAAGCAGAAAAGUUUGCGAGUCGAAAAAAUGUAAUGAAGUGGUCAAGCUAAUAAGGGCUAAUGGUGGAUACCUAGGCACACAGAGG
Molecule: unclassified non-coding RNA, 729 nt
Filed under: Trichormus variabilis SAG 1403-4b
Lineage: Bacteria; Bacillati; Cyanobacteriota; Cyanophyceae; Nostocales; Nostocaceae
Description: partial contains 16S ribosomal RNA, 16S-23S ribosomal RNA intergenic spacer, and 23S ribosomal RNA
Rfam family: Bacterial small subunit ribosomal RNA (bases 1-120)
Source: RNAcentral